This 63-nucleotide transfer RNA is filed under the name Fukomys damarensis (Damara mole-rat). It matches the Rfam family "tRNA", at positions 1 to 62 of the family's 71-position model. Rfam says of the family: Transfer RNA (tRNA) molecules are approximately 80 nucleotides in length. Lineage: Eukaryota; Metazoa; Chordata; Mammalia; Rodentia; Bathyergidae. The record is from Rfam by way of RNAcentral.
GGGGAUGUAGCUCAGUGGUAGAGCGCUUGCCUAGUGUGCAAGAGACCGUAGGUUUCAUUCCUG